RNAcentral lists this ribosomal RNA (377 nucleotides) under uncultured organism. RNAcentral's name for it is "bacterial SSU rRNA". It matches the Rfam family "Bacterial small subunit ribosomal RNA", at positions 526 to 896 of the family's 1533-position model. The record is from RNAcentral.
CGGGGGGAGCAAGCGUUGUUCGGAUUUACUGGGCGUAAAGGGCGCGUAGGCGGCGCAACAAGUCACUUGUGAAAUCUCCGGGCUUAACCCGGAGCGGCCAAGUGAUACUGUCGUGGCUAGAGUGCGGAAGGGGCGUACUGGAAUUCUCGGUGUAGCGGUGAAAUGCGUAGAUAUCGAGAGGAGCACCUGCGGCGAAGGCGGGUAGCUGGGCCGACACCGACGCUGAGGCGCGAAAGCCAGGGGAGCGGAACGGGAUUAGGAUACCCCGGUAGUCCUGGCCUUAAACGAUGGAUGCUUGGUGUCCGGGGUUACAUAGUCCCCGGGUGCCGGCGCUAACGCAUUAAGCAUCCCGCCUGGGGUGUACGGUCGCAAGACUG